RNAcentral lists this long non-coding RNA (656 nucleotides) under Linum usitatissimum (flax). Its description in RNAcentral is "long non-coding RNA (LUSI_LNC005981)". The record is from RNAcentral. Lineage: Eukaryota; Viridiplantae; Streptophyta; Magnoliopsida; Malpighiales; Linaceae.
CCGCCACUAUCGGCGGGGACGAACUUGCCUCCAGAUUGACAUAUUACAAUCAACUUGGACAUGGCUUACUCGAUAACACAACUGACAAUACCAAAUACUGCGCAGACGAAGAUUAAGAAGAAGAAAAAACAUGAAUAAACUGUGACAUGCAAUGGCAUUUAUGAACAAAAUAAUCUACCAAAGAAAACCUAGAUUCAGUAGCAAACGACGAAACCGAAAUCGAUACUAUUAUCGCGAAGCAAGAAGAAGAAGAUGAAGAAAAAACCGCCAUGUCUUCCUGUUCGUAGAAGGAUUGACGAAACUGAGCAACAAAAAAGGGGGUGAAAACUAAAAGAGAGGAGAAAAGUAGAAUGAAACGAACCGGAAUGAAGGAAAGAAAACAGCUUCGGAAGCGGAAGCAGCUACUGGUGCGGCGGGGGGGGCGGAGGAGGGGAUUUGUUGGGGGAAUUGACGGCGGAGGGCGGAUUGCAAAGGGAAGUGGAGUUGGAUGGGGUAAUUGAAAUUGUGGGUUGGAUUUCUGAUGUUUUUGUAAAUUUUAGGGUUUAGGUGUAUUUGGGCAUCGCUCUUUUUUCCAGAGGUGUUUCAGAGAAUCUGAGAAGAUGGAGGGAUGAGGGGGCGAUAGAUUAGUGAAGCAAUCUGCAAAAGGACCAAAUACC